CGAAACAGCAAGAAUUGUCGUCCCGACGAGCGGCCAUCACUCGUCUCCUCAGGCAGGCAGGCGGUCAAGGACAGUCUGGGCUGUCUCGUGCUUCAUCCUGCAGGUCCCCCCUGACUGAGCUGGGAGAAUAGAGCCUUCUCAGGUCAGGAUUGUCUGUGGAGCUCCCUCCCUGGGGAUGCCAGCCCUCGCUCUGCUCCACUGGUCUUCAGGUCUCAUCAUGCAGCACUUCAAAGUGCGUGGAUGAACUGCAGCAUCAAAACUUUUCCCUUCCCAUUGAAAUAACAAGAAAAGUCACCUCAGGCGCUCAGACAAACUUCGGUUUCAUCAGCUGUCUUCUUUUCAUCUGCAGAGAGGAGAGUAGAGCCAUGGUUCUGGGACAGCCUGGAAGAACCUCUUCACACCUGAGGCCAGGAGAUUCCCUCAGACAGACCCGAGAAGGCUCUGGCACACAACUGUCACUGGGACCAGUACACUCACUGGGUUGUACUGGCAACGAGGGGCAGGCACCGUAGCUCGUCCUGUGAUUUCUGCAGAGAUACAGGAGGCUUCCAGAAUCAAAUAGUCACUUGUGGCUUCUCUAGCAUUCACCCCGACUUGCCGACUGCUCACCAAAGCCCCCAGUGCUCCUCACUGUCUCUCUGCAAUUUCCUGGCUAAAGGAGAUCUGGAAUGUAAAAGUGUAUUCAUCACCAGAGGUUUUGCCAGAUUCCAGGACUUCAGUGAAGCGGUAAGAGAUGGUUUAAAAUUGGAAUGGCGCGGUGAUUCCUCCGAGUUUUCAGUCAACUGUGG
RNAcentral lists this long non-coding RNA (788 nucleotides) under Calidris pugnax (ruff). Its description in RNAcentral is "lncRNA (ENSCPUG00000002960.1)". Lineage: Eukaryota; Metazoa; Chordata; Aves; Charadriiformes; Scolopacidae. The record is from RNAcentral.